Molecule: ribosomal RNA, 274 nt
Filed under: uncultured bacterium
Lineage: Bacteria
Description: partial 16S ribosomal RNA
Rfam family: Bacterial small subunit ribosomal RNA
Source: RNAcentral
AUACGGAGGGUGCAAGCGUUAUCCGGAUUUACUGGGUUUAAAGGGUACGCAGGCGGUAAUUUAAGUCAGUGGUGAAAGCCUACAGCUCAACUGUAGAACUGCCAUUGAAACUGAAUUACUUGAGUAUGGUAGAGGUAGGCGGAAUACAACAUGUAGCGGUGAAAUGCAUAGAUAUGUUGUAGAACACCGAUUGCGAAGGCAGCUUACUAAACCAUUACUGACGCUCAUGUACGAAAGCGUGGGGAGCGAACAGGAUUAGAAACCCCAGUAGUCC